AGAAAAUUAAUCCUGCGGAUGUAUUUGACAUUCGAAGGCGAUUGUCGGAUGAUAAGCAGAAACGAAAAUACUUACCUAAAAUAUAUGAUCCUUUCGUGAAUGGAGGCUUUCGUGCAGAAAUCCAAAAAAAUGUUUCACUUCGACCCUUUAUUACAAAUGAAACUGACACAACAAACUCCAUUUUGGUAAAUAAGAUUCAUGGUCUCCUUAUUUCUAAUAAUAGUAAUUCUCUAGAAUUUGACCAGAAAAUAGAUCAAUUUGAUAGAAAAUUAUUAUUAACUAAAAUUGGGUUUUUUGUUAAGUUAAUCAGUAAAUUUUCGGAAAAAUCAGUAUCAAGUUUGGAUUUUGACGCAAUUCACUUAUUUCCAGAACAUGAACAAGGAAAAAUGUAUUCCGAAGAAAAAAAAACUUUUUUUUCGACGCAAUUCGGACUACUCAUACCAACGAUACAAUUUUCACUACAAGUUUAUCGAGUGAAAUAAACGAAAUAAGUAAAGAAGUUCCUCGAUGGGAAUACCAAUUGAUCGACGACAUCGAGGUAGGGCUGAAUCNGAAGAAAAUUAAUCCUGCGGAUGUAUUUGACAUUCGAAGGCGAUUGUCGGAUGAUAAGCAGAAACGAAAAUACUUACCUAAAAUAUAUGAUCCUUUCGUGAAUGGAGGCUUUCGUGCAGAAAUCCAAGACAACGUUUCACUUCGACCCUUUAUUACAAAUGAAACUGACACAACAAACUCCAUUUUGGUAAAUAAGAUUCAUGGUCUCCUUAUUUCUAAUAAUAGUAAUUCUCCAGAAUUUGACCAGAAAAUAGAUCAAUAUGAUAGAAAAUUAUUAUUAACUAAAAUUGGGUUUUUUGUUAAGUUAAUCAGUAAAUUUUCGGAAAAAUCAGUAUCAAGUUUGGAUUUUGACGCACUUCACUUAUUUCCAGAACAUGAACAAGGAAAAAUGUAUUCCGAAGAAAGAAAAAAAAACUUUUUUUCCGACGCAAUUCGGACUACUCAUACCAACGAUACAAUUUUCACUACAAGUUUAUCGAGUGAAAUAAACGAAAUAAGUAAAGAAGUUCCUCGAUGGGAAUACCAAUUGAUCGACGACAUUGAGGUAGGGAUGAAUCCUACCAUACACACAAAGGAUCCUCAGAUUUGUUGCCGAUUACCGGGUGAGCAAAUUGUUUUCAGUUGUGAGACACUGUUCUCUAAGACGGAUGAGGCUUACAAUCGAGAUUUUUCGAGGAAGCAUCCAUCAAUAGACCCAAGUACGUACUUUCGUAUCCCGCAUUUUCUAUGGGAAAUGGAUUUCGACCGAGAGAUUAUCAGAGGAUCCGUGCACGGCCAAAGGCGUAAAAUAGCCAUUUUGAAACUCUUUCAAGCAAAUGUCCAUUCCCCAAUUUUUGUAGACAACUACCCGUUUGGUGGUCUUUUCGAUGAUAUCGUCCAAUAUGUGAAAGAAUAUUUCAGGAAACCUGGCACUGAUAAUUCGAAAUUUUUGCAGUUUCAGAAAGUGCAAGAAGAGAGACGGAAAGAGGACCAGAAAGACGAGAUUGAAAACAGACUUGAAAAAAUCGAAGAGGCCUGGGAGAGCAUUCUAUAUGGUCAAUGGAAAAAGAAGGGUCCGAGACGGAAAUAGCAGCAACAACUGGGUUUAUUACGGGACGCCUGAUGAUCUUCAUAUCCAUCUAUUAUACGCCUUUGCAUUUGGCAUUGAAUAGACCUCAUACGGUAUGAUUCUUACUAGUACCUUAUCUUUUCUUUUAUUUUCUAUACCACAAUGGCAAUCAUUUCUAUCGGUCGGCUUGGGUAUCCGACCUGUCUUCUGGAUACAAGGAUCCAGUUUUGGUGGAUUCUGGAUACAAGAAUCCAAACUCAAUACGUAAUUUGAGGAUUUACAAAGUAUUCUUCAAUAAUCUUUUGUUUCAACUGUUUUAUCCCGUUGUUGUUCAGAGUUCAAUCGUACUAAGAGUAAUGAACAUUUAUCUGUUUCGAUCCAACAAGAAAUUGUUCUUCUUAAUAAGUAGUUUUGUUGGGUGUUAAUUGGUCACAUCUUUUUGAUGAAAUGUAUUGGAUUGGUAUUAGUCGGGUUAAAGCAAAAAAAUUCGAUCAAAUCUAAGAUAACUAUGAGAUUUGAUAAAUACACUCUCCUACAAUUGCGAAAAUUAUACGGCGCAAAUGUUUGGAGCUUUUGCAUUUUUCUUCUUUGCACUCUAUUUAGGCAACUCACCGUCCCCGUAUUAUUAUGGUGCCGAAAUGGGAGACUACGACGAAAACCGGGAGGGGGAAAUCCAAGCUGCAAUAGAUCCGGACGAAACUAACCAAGAAGAUAUUACUGUUUAUCUUUCUCAGAAUGAGAAAAAAGAGACGACUUCCAACAACAUAAAUAUUGACAAAAAUAAAAAACUGGCCCCAUUGGAAAAAUCUCUUGUAACGACUCUUUUCGAUUAUAAUCGAUGGAGUAGGCCUUUGCGAUAUAUAGAAAAUCAUAAGUUUAACAGGAUUGAAAAAGAUGAAAAUUCACAAUUUUUCUUUCAAACAUGAGAAAGUGAUGGAAAAAAACGAAUAUCUUUCACGUAUCCACCUCAUUUAUCUACUUUUCAGAAACUCCUGGAAAAAAAAAUGGAUCUCUUCAGAAGCGAUAGCGAUAAAACCUCCUAUAAUCAUAAUGAUCUUUCACGUAUCCACCUCAUUUAUCUACUUUUCAGAAACUCCUGGAAAAAAAAAUGGAUCUCUUCAGAAGCGAUAGCGAUAAAACCUCCUAUAAUCAUAAUGAAUUGUUUAAUUAUUGGAGCUCGACUAAUAAAGAAAAACUAAAUCAACUAAGCAAUGAAUUAUUUCAAAAGGCAAAAAUUAUAGAUAGGAAAGAUAAGAAGAAAAUUAAUCCUGCGGAUGUAUUUGACAUUCGAAGGCGAUUGUCGGAUGAUAAACAGAAACGAAAAUACUUACCUAAAAUAUAUGAUCCUUUCGUGAAUGGAGGCUUUCGUGCAGAAAUCCAAAACAACGUUUCACUUCGACCCUUUAUUACAAAUGAAACUGACACAACAAACUCCAUUUUUGUAAAUAAGAUUCAUGGUCUCCUUAUUUCUAAUAAUAGUAAUUCUCCAGAAUUUGACCAGAAAAUAGAUCAAUUUGAUAGAAAAUUAUUAUUAACUAAAAUUGGGUUUUUUGUUAAGUUAAUCAGUAAACUGACACAACAAACUCCAUUUUGGUAAAUAAGAUUCAUGGUCUCCUUAUUUCUAAUAAUAGUAAUUCUCCAGAAUUUGACCAGAAAAUAGAUCAAUUUGAUAGAAAAUUAUUAUUAACUAAAAUUGAGUUUUUUGUUAAGUUAAUUAGUAAAUUUUCGGAAAAAUCAGUAUCAAGUUUGGAUUUUGACGCACUUCACUUAUUUCCAGAACAUGAACAAGGAAAAAUGUAUUCCGAAGAAGAAAAAAAA
Molecule: long non-coding RNA, 3418 nt
Filed under: Lathyrus oleraceus (garden pea)
Lineage: Eukaryota; Viridiplantae; Streptophyta; Magnoliopsida; Fabales; Fabaceae
Description: Pisum sativum (pea) long non-coding RNA (PSAT_LNC034490)
Source: RNAcentral